GUCUCGGUGGUGUAGUGGACAAGACGCCCGACUGGUAAACAGAAGGUCCUGGGUUCUAGCCCAGCCGAGGUA
Molecule: transfer RNA, 72 nt
Filed under: Diaphorina citri (Asian citrus psyllid)
Lineage: Eukaryota; Metazoa; Arthropoda; Insecta; Hemiptera; Psyllidae
Rfam family: tRNA
About the family: Transfer RNA (tRNA) molecules are approximately 80 nucleotides in length. Their secondary structure includes four short double-helical elements and three loops (D, anti-codon, and T loops).
Source: Rfam by way of RNAcentral